RNAcentral lists this transfer RNA (74 nucleotides) under Bacteriovorax sp. RNAcentral's name for it is "tRNA-Ala". It matches the Rfam family "tRNA". From Rfam's summary of the family: Transfer RNA (tRNA) molecules are approximately 80 nucleotides in length. Lineage: Bacteria; Pseudomonadati; Bdellovibrionota; Bacteriovoracia; Bacteriovoracales; Bacteriovoracaceae. The record is from RNAcentral.
GGGGAAUUAGUUUAGGGGUAGAAUAAAAGCAUGGCAUGUUUUAGGCCCGAGUUCGAUUCUCGGAUUCUCCACCA